RNAcentral lists this ribosomal RNA (253 nucleotides) under uncultured bacterium. RNAcentral describes it as "partial 16S ribosomal RNA". It matches the Rfam family "Bacterial small subunit ribosomal RNA", at positions 524 to 776 of the family's 1533-position model. The record is from RNAcentral. RNAcentral also lists the same sequence under 1 other name.
UACGGGGGGUGCGAGCGUUGUCCGGAAUCACUGGGCGUAAAGGGCGCGUAGGUGGUCUUGUAAGUCUGUGGUGAAAGCCCGGGGCUCAACCCCGGGUCUGCCGCGGAUACUGUGAGACUUGAGUACUGUAGAGGCUGGUAGAAUGCCGGGUGUAGCGGUGGAAUGCGUAGAGAUCCGGCAGAAGACCGGUGGCGAAGGCGGCCAGCUGGGCAGUAACUGACACUGAGGCGCGACAGCGUGGGGAGCAAACAGG